RNAcentral lists this ribosomal RNA (499 nucleotides) under uncultured bacterium. RNAcentral's name for it is "bacterial SSU rRNA". It matches the Rfam family "Bacterial small subunit ribosomal RNA", at positions 30 to 524 of the family's 1533-position model. The record is from RNAcentral.
AUUGAACGCUGGCGGCAUGCCUUACACAUGCAAGUCGAACGGCAGCACGGGGCAACCUGGUGGCGAGUGGCGAACGGGUGAGUAAUACAUCGGAACGUGCCCAAUCGUGGGGGAUAACGUAGCGAAAGCUACGCUAAUACCGCAUACGAUCUACGGAUGAAAGCGGGGGAUCGCAAGACCUCGCGCGAAUGGAGCGGCCGAUGGCAGAUUAGGUAGUUGGUGGGGUAAAGGCUCACCAAGCCUGCGAUCUGUAGCUGGUCUGAGAGGACGACCAGCCACACUGGAACUGAGACACGGUCCAGACUCCUACGGGAGGCAGCAGUGGGGAAUUUUGGACAAUGGGCGCAAGCCUGAUCCAGUCAUUCCGCGUGCAGGAUGAAGGCCCUCGGGUUGUAAACUGCUUUUGUACGGAACGAAAAGGCCUUCUCUAAUACGGUGGGCUAAUGACGGUACCGUAAGAAUAAGCACCGGCUAACUACGUGCCAGCAGCCGCGGUAAU